GGGCCGUUAGCUCAGUUGGUAGAGCAGCGGACUUUUAAUCCGUUGGUCGCAGGUUCAAAUCCUGCACGGCCUACCA
Molecule: transfer RNA, 76 nt
Filed under: Betaproteobacteria bacterium CG2_30_68_42
Lineage: Bacteria; Pseudomonadati; Pseudomonadota; Betaproteobacteria
Also listed under: 7 other names
Description: tRNA-Lys
Rfam family: tRNA
About the family: Transfer RNA (tRNA) molecules are approximately 80 nucleotides in length.
Source: RNAcentral